GGGGGAUUAGCUCAGUUGGGAGAGCGCUUGCAUGGCAUGCAAGAGGUCAUCGGUUCGAAUCCGAUAUUCUCCA
RNAcentral lists this transfer RNA (73 nucleotides) under Flavobacteriales bacterium. Its description in RNAcentral is "tRNA-Ala". It matches the Rfam family "tRNA". From Rfam's summary of the family: Transfer RNA (tRNA) molecules are approximately 80 nucleotides in length. Lineage: Bacteria; Pseudomonadati; Bacteroidota; Flavobacteriia; Flavobacteriales. The record is from RNAcentral.